This 484-nucleotide ribosomal RNA is filed under the name uncultured bacterium. Its description in RNAcentral is "partial 16S ribosomal RNA". It matches the Rfam family "Bacterial small subunit ribosomal RNA", at positions 30 to 507 of the family's 1533-position model. The record is from RNAcentral.
AUUGAACGCUGGCGGCAGGCCUAACACAUGCAAGUCGAGCGGAUGAAGGGAGCUUGCUCCUGGAUUCAGCGGCGGACGGGUGAGUAAUGCCUAGGAAUCUGCCUGGUAGUGGGGGAUAACGUCCGGAAACGGGCGCUAAUACCGCAUACGUCCUGAGGGAGAAAGUGGGGGAUCUUCGGACCUCACGCUAUCAGAUGAGCCUAGGUCGGAUUAGCUAGUUGGUGGGGUAAAGGCCUACCAAGGCGACGAUCCGUAACUGGUCUGAGAGGAUGAUCAGUCACACUGGAACUGAGACACGGUCCAGACUCCUACGGGAGGCAGCAGUGGGGAAUAUUGGACAAUGGGCGAAAGCCUGAUCCAGCCAUGCCGCGUGUGUGAAGAAGGUCUUCGGAUUGUAAAGCACUUUAAGUUGGGAGGAAGGGCAGUAAGUUAAUACCUUGCUGUUUUGACGUUACCAACAGAAUAAGCACCGGCUCACUUCGUG